Molecule: long non-coding RNA, 2663 nt
Organism: Ctenopharyngodon idella (grass carp)
Lineage: Eukaryota; Metazoa; Chordata; Actinopteri; Cypriniformes; Xenocyprididae
Exons: 3
Source: RefSeq, a predicted model, not a curated record
CUAACAUACAAAGCUAUGCAUGGAAUAGCCCCUUCUUAUAUCUGUGACUUAGUCACCCUGUACAUGCCUUCUCAUUCCCUUCGGUCUACUGAUUCUCUUACUCUUCAGCAGCCUAACUGUAGAUUAAAAUUCAUGGGGGAAAGAGCUUUCUCUGUCUCCGCACCCAUGGAAUGCACUUCCUCUUACUGUUAGAGAUGCUCCCACAUCAGCUAGUUAAGUUGUUAAAAGCUUAUCUUUUUAAAAUUGCUUAUAUAGACUGUGAUGAUUAGUAUUUUAUUGUGUUGUACUGUAAUGAUUAUUUUCUGAUUUAUAGUUUCUUUGUAUUGUAUUAUUUUUGUACUUCUGUAUUUUAUUUGUUUUUAUUUGCAAUUCUUUGUGGCGCUUUGGGUUUUAGAAAAGCAUUAUAAAUAAAAUGUAUUAUUAUUAUUAUUACUAUUAGGGCCUCAGAUAACUGGAUAUCUAUAGAAGACUCAGAUAUUGUUUGCCUAGAGCACACAGAAUUUCCUGUUCAAUUGUGUUGAGAAACAUUUCAAUCUUGUAAAGAGUAAAACUUCCUCAAAUAUGGUUUUGAGGUAAAAACAUGAUAAACAGAAGUACUAGGCCUUAUGAUAAUCUGAUCAUUUGUUUAUCCAAGCAAUUUUGAUAGUGUUUGUUCUAUGAUAAAUGAAUAUGCAUAAUAAGCAGAGUAUGCAAACUGUGUAGCUGACCAAUAAACUUUGUGGAAGUAGAUGUGAAGCAUGUCACUUUGUGUGUGUUUUAUUGUUCCCAUGUACCAUUUGAAGCAGCAAGAGCGGAACAACAGAACAAAGUUUGUGGGAAAAGAUUAACUAAUGAUUUAAUAAUUUUCUUACAACUCAUGAGCAUCUAGAUUGAGAUGACAUGAAUAAUAACAAAUCUUAAGGCACCUUUCUUUCUGAUUCUGGUGUGAAAUGUGACCCAAACAUGACUUUGCACAAUAUACUCUUUAUAUGUUACUUAUAAAAGCACUUGACUGAUAUGGUAUGUAAAUAGGCACCGUUGUGUGGGAGGGACAGUUUGCACAGGAGACUAAGGAAGUGAUUCUUGUGUAUCAGCUACGGUGGUUUUUGCAUGUGAUCCGGCAUUCAGACAACAGGUUUCAGUUGCAGUUCGUGCGAAGACAUACACAUCAACCGAGACUGUGUCAUAAAGAGUCUGUGUGUGUAUCUCAAUGGGGACAUUACAACACUUGUCAAAGAAUUCCAGGACUGCAGUCCUGAAGGAGAUGAGGGAGGAAUUUCUGAGACCACUCUGGACCUUUUUGUGACCCUUAAAGUGCUGAGUACUAGCCAGACAAUGUUGGAGUAGCAACAGAGGGUGUAAAACUGCUACAACACUUAAGAGUUUUUCCUUUGGAUUAAUAAUGCUGUUCGGAUUGAUCUACGCACUCAAGCUACACUCAGAGUCUCAAAUUCACAUUUGAAUUCUUCCAGAAGGUAAUGAUGAAUUUGGACUUUAGGACAUCACAUAGAUGUUUCCAUCCCCUGGAAGGACAUUGAAAACUUUUAAACUUGUUCUGUACCGUUGAAUUGAAGACAGUAUGAUCGACGGCACUAUGAACCGAUGACACUAACUCAAAUCAAGAGACUGCACCUAAUGCACCUUCUGGCUUCCUCUAGCUCUGAUACAUUUAAAGGGUUAGUUCACCAAAAAAUGAAGAUUCUGUCAUAAAUUACUCACCCUCAUGUUGUUCCACACCCGUAAGACCUUUGUUCAUCUUCAGAACACAAAUUAGGAUAUUUUUGAUGAAAUCCAUGAGCUAUCUGGCCUUCGAUAGACUGCAACACAACUAUCACUUUCAAGGCCCAGAAAGGUAGUAAAGACAUCAUUAAAAUAGUCAACAUGACUACAGUGGUUCAACCUUAAUAAUAUGAAGCGACGAGAAUACUUUUUGUGCGCAAAACAAAAAAACAAAAACAAAAAUAAUGACUUUAUUCAAAAAUGUCUUCCCUUUUAUGUCAGUCUCCUACACAGUUGAUGUUGUACACACAAAAUAUCUUAAUUUGUGUUUCGAAGAUGAACGAAGGUCUUAGGGUUUUGGUGCGACAUGAGGGUGAGUAAUUAAUGACAGAAAUUUCAUUUUUGGGCGAAUAAACCCUUUAACAGUGAUGUUAGCCCUUGUACUAUUCUUUGUCCAGGAAGUUAACAUGUGAAUAGGACACUUAGGCUACUGAAUGCCUAAAUGCUGAAAUGUGACAGACAACAGAAAACCUGUCAUAUGUAAAGUAAAAUAUAAUCCUUCAGAUUGCUUUUCUUUUUUUCCCCAAGUGUCCUGAUUGUUUAUUUGUUUGAAUAAAUGUUUACAAGGAAUGUAACCAUUUACAGAUCUGUAUCAAGUUUCAGAUAAGUGAAAGCACAAACUGAUUACCAUACUAUGCAGUGAGAUCCCAAUAUUACCUUGAAUAUGUGAAAAUAAUGUUUGAUGUUGAAAUUUGGUUCCUUGUUGAUCUUUGAACUUGUUGGCACACAGCCAUAACCAUUGUGUUAGUUUGGGAGAAGGCACAAAACUGCAGUAAACAGUUGCCUUAAUUUGUGAAAUACUGCAUUAUGUUCUAUUUUAUUUAUUUAUUUAUUUAUUUUUUGUUAGAUUGGAUGUUUCUUAUUAAUCCUGGAGCAAUUGUGACAAUAAAUGUUUAUAAAUGUAA